Long non-coding RNA from Gadus chalcogrammus (walleye pollock), 7302 nucleotides. RefSeq lists it as uncharacterized. The record is from RefSeq and is a predicted model, not a curated record. NCBI's taxonomy places the organism in Eukaryota, Metazoa, Chordata, Actinopteri, Gadiformes, Gadidae. The transcript has 2 exons.
AACAGCACAUAAUAACUUUCCACCCAGGAAUGGGAUUCGAACCCGGGUCUUUCACUCCACAGUCAGUGUGUUAUCCCCUAGUCUACUCUAAUCGAUACCCUGCGUUGAUCUAUUACAUACAUAUCGUACUAUGCACAACUCCCGUAAACGAUUGUAGCAUCGAUUGUGCUUUAUUUUUUCAUUAAAUAAUUAGGCGGUGACCAGCUGGCGUCGGACAAGGUUGGUUGGGUGUGCUUGAGUAACUCUAGGGGGUGAUUAUGUGGGAUGGGGUUAGACACUCAAAGAUUUCUAUUGAGGUAGGCUGCCUUAUGGAUUGAGUCGGUUUCUUUUUUUUUUGCUCAAAGCUUCUCCACCGAGCCGCGGACCAGUCAAGUGAUUAAUUCAGGCAACGAACCAGUUGCUGCUUCGGACGUCACUUGUCACGUGUUUUUUUUUGCUCUGAAGCAGUGCUUCUUGGGAGUUGGUUUGAAGCACGUAUCGAAGCUUCAGUGUCACACUGCCAUCACUAGCGCUAGCUCUCUGAAGCCAUUGUCAGACAUGCAGUGAAUACAAGUGCAGCUACCGUUUCAGUUUAGCAGACGACUGCCAAAACAAUUAAUGUUGCGGCGACCUACCGGGAAGUCUGCCUGCGAGUGGGUGCACUUCAUGGCCUUACUGCGCAUGCGCGCAUCAGCGAGCGAACAGGUGGAUGCAAUUAGUCUAAAGGAGCAGCACGUGCCAGAGACAAGAGAAGAGACGUGAGCUUGUUCAUUUGUUUGCAACGCGGCAGCAGAAGGAAGAGCUCUCGGACAAGCACAGAGUUAAAACCCAUGGGAAAGGGGAAAAAGAUCAGAGGCUACCGGUUUUUCACCUCAUCAUAUUCAUCAUGCUGGUCAAUACUGGUCAAAUAAAAUGAAGAUUGAGUGAAAUCCUGUGUCUGGUAAAGUCCUUCCCGUUUCAAGUGUGGGAAGCCAUGGUGUUAGAAAUGCACUUGCCAAUUAAUGCUGGGCACAUCCUUUGCUAAAUCCCUUGAAGAUGAAAGAAUUGGGCUUUGCAUCUCUAUGCGAAUAAUACUGUAAGAUAACACGUCCCAUGCUGUAUGGGUCUAAACGGCAACAAUGCUAAACCUCUCCUAUCCCCAGGCCUAGCAAGACGUGUGGCUAAACAGAUCAAAGCCUGCCUAUGCCUUGAUUAUUAGGUAGGGAGAAAAUGCAGUUUUGAAAUAUUUACUCUAUCUUAACACUUUUCUUUGUCUUCAUGUUGACAGCAGGCGUUGUCUGGCACCAACUGUUUGACACCUAGGGGAAGAUAUUGUUGAUAUGCAACUUGAAAUUAUUCGUUGGAAAGGAUUGUCAUUUUUGGGUGACUAUGACAUUGCAGGUCUUAGGCUUAUUGAUAUAUUUUUCUCUUUUUCUUUCCUUUUUCGCAUUGCGCUGUUUGCAUGACAUUAAAUCCAUUCAUUUUUAUUUUUUAAAAGCAUUGGAGAAGAGCACCAGAGCUCAUUCAUUGAACGGUCACGCUCUGUGUGGUUCUUGUUGUCUUCUCUGUGGUUCUGCAGGAGGCACCUGACCAAACCGUCCCUGAUCUUCAGCCACACGCUGGCGGAGAUCAAAGCCAUCUUCCCCGGGGGACUCUUCCAGGGAGACACCUUCCGCAUCGUUCUGCUCGGAAUAUGAUUCCCGGAGGAAAGGAAGGUAACGAGGGUGUGUGCGUGUGUGUGUGUGUGUGCGUGUAAGUGGUAAUGCUUAUUUUGCAAAGAGGGCAGUGACGCAUGCUGUGCACCGACACAUGCACACUAGGGCUGGGAUAAACGAUUAUUUUUUAAACGAUUAAUCUAUUCAAUUCGAUUAUCGUUAUCUCCCAAUUAAUUGACUAAUAGCAAUUUAUACAUUCAGAUUUAAAUAUCUGAAUGAAAAAACAUGAAUUCCUUAACAUUGCAAUGCAUGUUUAUUGCCUUAAAUUGCAAAAUAAAAGUGCAAAGUAAUGCAUUCUUAGAAGUCAGAGGUAGCAUUCAAUAAAAACUUGAAGCCUUAAACACAAAGGCCUUCCGUCCAUCUCCAUUUUGCAAAGACGACCUAUCACGGAAUCGUUUCCUUUAACAUUAAAGAAUGCCCAUACUUUAGAGGAGCGAGUGUGAGGCGCCUUGACAUGAAGGGUUUAAAUGAUUAAAGGUCUAAAUGAUUUGAUAUGAAAGGUUUAAAUGAUUAAAGGAGUAAAUGAUUUGAUAUGAAAGGUUUAAAUGAUUAAAGGUCUAAAUGAUUUGAUAUGAAAGGUUUAAAUGAUUAGAGGUCUACAGUGUUUCCCACAGACCAAGGACCAAUGUGUGGUGCGUGGGGGGGGGCGGCGGCAUCAGCGCACAAGUUUAGUUUUUACCUGAACUUUUGAUUCUGUGACAUUCAAGGAAUGAAUUGCAACAGACGACUAAAGCUGGAGGUCUUUAUUUCAAGUACAAAUAAACUCGAGACCUAUCUGAACCAAUAUUUAAGUUUUUUAGGAAAUAUAAAAUAAAUGGUAACAAUAUACUACUAGGUACAACAAGGCAACUAACUAAAAUAAUGAAUGCAAUGCAAAUAUUGUCAGGGAGGGCAGCCGACUGAGGUCUAAGGACAUGGAAGGCUCCUAGGAUGUCCAGCUCCUGGAACCUCCUUUUCAGUUCUGUCUCCAGGCCAGUAAUGUAGGGUUGGAUGACAUACAAUGAACAGAUCAGCACAUUUUCUCCACCAGGAACAGAAGGAUCAAAAUUACUUUCCCUACUCUUAUUUUUUUAAAGUUAAAAUAUACACUAAUCUGUUUCCACCUCACCUGUUGUUUCAGCAACAUUUUGUCUGCUGUCCUCCUGGCCUAUAUUAAUCAGUAUCUCUCCUGAACAGCCCGGCCCCUGAGAAGCACUGGGUUGUUCAGCACUGUUUGAUGCCUAGGAACAUUCGAAAUAAAUUGAUUAUAUAUUUAAUAAACAUUUACUAGCCACAGCCAUUUGACUGUUCAACUUAAUUUCAGACUAAGCUAACUACCUCCUCAAGCUGCUCCGUCUCGUCUGGACGAGGCCUUUUUUGGUACAGAAUUUUUUUUUCAAUACUCUGGUUUAAAGCAACAAACAUUCAGAGUCAGAAUAAAAUAAUAUUAAGAAUAGAAUGUAAUAAAUGUUUUAUUUUCUUUUUUUAUAUGGGCACCGUAUAUGCCUAUCUAAACUAUAACCGCAUUUCAUCUUAAUCGCAGUGUUCGCUGCGUUACCAACGACAUUGUCUAUGAUGACGGGGGCGGGAUGUUCAAUAACGUUGAGUUCAUAAAGCUAAUAUUACUUUUUCUGAGUUAGCAAAAAAUGUGAGCAGGUGUGUUAGACCACAGUAUAUCAUACUAUCCUUUGGUAAACUGCAAAUGUCGCAGAUCGUCUUCUCUGUGCCAAAUAUAUUUUUCCAUUGACCUCAAGCAUUGCGCGUGGACAGGAGGAGCGGGCGAAUCAGCCAUCAUUGAGUGUGCAUGAAAAGGCCGAUUUAGGGUCGUUUUAGACGCAGAGACGUAAGCACGUAAUUUACACAAGGGACUUGUUUUAGACAAGUUUUGAUUUACGGUUCCUUAAGGAUUGCGUGUGUUGCAAGGGGAUUCCUCCACCAGAACAGUAGGGGGAGCAACGAACGAAUCUGUGGGCGUGGAAGUGGAAAUCGCUGGCUUGUUUAUAUUUAUGCACUUCCAGUAUUUUCGGACGAUAGUAGCAGUACUUAAGUUUAGGUUAGCAGUCUUUUUCCACACUCUGACGAUGUUAAGGUUGAGUCGAAGACAGUUGAGGGAGCUGGAGCUGAUAAGACUCCUGAAAGGAUGUGGUUAGCUGGCCAAUCACAGUCUUUGCGAGCUGCGUAGGGCCGUAGUGUUUUAGUGGCAUAGUCAGGAAUUUUGGGCGACGCACUUAAGCAUGUAAGGGGGGAUAUUUUACCGCACAAGGGGGGUUAUGUAUCUUACGUGCUAACGCGUUACGUCUAAAACAGAGCAUAUAUCGGCCUUUACUCCGAGUUUACAUGCGGACACAUCUGAUCCGCAUAGAUGUGGAAGAACAGCUCAAUCGGAAUAGAAAAGUAUCAUAUAUAUAUACGCCUCAAUCGGUUCGGAAUAGAAUUCCAUGCGGAAUAGAAGGGGUGGUGUAGUCCGCUAUAAACACUUAUUCCGAUUAGUUUGGGGUUUAACUUGGAGCUGCUGCAGUAGUUCGCAAUUGGUCCACUCCGUCUGUACUUUAAUGCACACCGAACCUUACCGCUGUCAAGGAAAGUGGAAUUAUUGCCUGAUUCACGUCUUUGUUAUUAUCACUCCGUAGUAGUUACAGUAGUCCGGUAACUUAACCCGUGUGUGUGUGUGUGUGUGUGUGUGUGUGUGUGUGUGUGUGUGUGUGUGUGUGUGUGUGUGUGUGUGUGUGUGUGUGUGUGUGUGUGUGUGUGUGUGUGUGUGUGUGUGUGUGUGUGUGUGUGUGUGUCAGGGAGAACGAGUGCAAUGCGGAGAUGAAAGGACGGAACGAUUUUUAGAUUUCAGUCGAGUUAUAAAAAAAAAAGACAGAAUGAAUUUGUGGCGCUCGAUGUUGAUUCUGUGGCGCUGUCAUGCCAAAUUUGUACCGGCUGCCAAAUUUGUACCGGGCGCGUCAUCCAUACGUAAUCCAUUCCAAACCUGCCUGGCAACAGAUGAUCGCGUUGUCCGUUGCCAGGCAACGGACGAUCGCGUCGAAUGACGUGAAAGGUUCACGGACAUUCGCAAACCUUCUAUCUAGCGAUCCGUUAUCUGUAUUGUGCCAUUUCGUCCUUGACCUGCUUUAAGCACUCAGUUUACUAGCUGAAUUUGAUUAAACAAUUGAAUAUAAUACAAAUAUAUAAAGUAAAAACAAGUGUUAUCUAGCGAUCCGUUAACUGUAUUAUGUUAUUUCGUCUUUGGCAACCAGAGCGCAAAUGUUUUUUGAAACCUGCCCGGCAACGGACGACGCGAUCAUCUGCUGCCAGGCAGGUUUGGAAUGGAUUAGGUAUGGAUGACGCGCCGCGGCACACAAUGGUCUAUGUAUGGGAAACACUGGUCUAAAUGAUUUGACAUGAAAGGCUGAAAUGAUUAAAGGUCAAAAUUAUUUGACAUGAAAGGUUUAAAUGAUUACAUUUACAUUUUUCAUUUAGGGCAUUUAGCAGACGCUUUUAUCCAAAGCGACUUACAAUAAGUACAUUUGUCAUAAGAAGUGCAUCAAUAUAUCGCUGUCGGUACAGAAAGGAUGUUCAUAGAACCAAGUGCAAGUACCACAAUCGCUAGGUCAAUUCCCCGUGUUACAGCCAUGAUAGCAGCUACUGCAGUUGCUACACAGUUAAGUACUACAAUACAAUACAAUACAAUACAGUAAACAAUGGUGGCCAGAAGGGGGAGAGUAGCUAUGCAGAGGUGGACUAAAGGUCUAAAUGAUUUGAUAUGAAAGGGUUAAAUGAUUAAGGGUCUAAAUGAUUUGAUAUGAAAGGUUCAAAUGAUUAAAGGUCUAAAUGAUUUGAUAUGAAAGGUUAAAUGAUUAAAGGUCUAAAUGAUUUGAUAUGAAAGGUUGAAAUGAUUAAAGGUCUAAAUGAUUUGAUAUGAAAGGUUAAAUGAUUAAAGGUCUAAAUGAUUUGAUAUGAAAGGUUCAAAUGAUUAAGGGUCUAAAUGAUUUGAUAUGAAAGGUUAAAUGAUUAAAGGUCUAAAUGAUUUGAUAUGAAAGGUUGAAAUGAUUAAAGGUCUAAAUGAUUUGAUAUGAAAGGUUAAAUGAUUAAAGGUCUAAAUGAUUUGAUAUGAAAGGUUCAAAUGAUUAAAGGUCUAAAUGAUUUGAUAUGAAAGGUUGAAAUGAUUAAAGGUCUAAAUGAUUUGAUAUGAAAGGUUAAAUGAUUAAAGGUCUAAAUGAUUUGAUAUGAAAGGUUGAAAUGAUUAAAGGUCUAAAUGAUUUGAUAUGAAAGGUUCAAAUGAUUAAAGGUCUAAAUGAUUUGACAUGAAGGUUGAAAUGAUUAAAGGUCUAAAUGAUUUGACAUGAAAGGUUGAAAUAAUUAAAGAUCUAAAUGAUUUGAUAUGAAAGGGUUAAAUUAUUAAAGGUCUAAAUGAUUUGAUAUGAAAGGGUUAAAUGAUUAAAGGUCUAAAUGAUUUGACAUGAAAGGUUGAAAUGAUUAAAGGUCUAAAUGAUUUGACAUGAAAGGUUGAAAUUAUUAAAGGUCUAAAUGAUUUGGCAUGAAAUUAUUACAUUUACAUUUAGGGCAUUUAGCAGACGCUUUUAUCGGUAUCCGAUACCGAUAUCCGAUAUUAAAAUUGCUGUUACGGGCGAUAACCGAUAUUUACCGAUAUCGAUAUUGGUAUAAAAACAAGUCUCUAUGAUGAUUUUGCAUACUGAAGAACAUGAAUAUGAAAAAGUUAUCUUUCUUUAUUUACCAAAACUUCGAAAUACAUUGUUUCUUCAACAAGUUACAGGGCAUCCAAAACAAACACAAGUUACUAAGUGUUAGUUUUAGGCUACUUAUACAACUUUACAACUUGUCAAUAUCUUGACAAGGUUUUAUAACUUAAAUCAAAUUUGUCAGUAUUCAUGGAAACCAGAUACUUGUCUAAUAAAUUAGAAAAAGUGUUUCAAGUUUAAGUAAAUUUCAACUCAAAUCUGUGAAAUAGGCUAAGAUAUAUCAAGGGAGGUUGGUUGUAGUCUUUUCACUCGGUUCUAUCCCUACUGUUGAUCCGGAGAACCGAGCGAAAAGACUACAACCAAAUAUAAACAUAUCAGGUUCCGGUUUCCGGUUCAAUGGGAUUACGGAACGCCAAAUAAAACGCAACAGAAGCUGUAUUUCGCUACGAUGAUGUAUAUAAUGAUUUGACACGGCAUCCUCCGCGCAUUACUUCGGCUUUGCAAGUACUGCAUAUUGCAAUUCGAGUACCCUAAUUUGAGACUGUAAAAAACAUCCAAACCGCCGACAUUGAAUCUUUUCAGUUAAGGUGACAAACACUCCUGUACUGCCUCUCCGUGCGUCUCUGGCUGCGUCACUGACAAUGUCACCUGACCAAACAAGCUGUGCAUGGGCAAAAACACACAAUGGCAACUAGACUAGGAAAUAAAUAUCGGCUGUUAAUAUCGGACCAGUUUUACUUAUCGGGCCGAUGCCGAAAUGUUAAAUAAUGACUAACAUCGGCCGAUAACUAUAUCACUGCCGAUAUAUCAUGCAUCCCUAACAAUAAGUACAUUUGUCAUAAGAAGUGCAUCAAUAUAUCGCUGUUGGUACAGAAAGGAUGUUCAUAGAACCAAGUGCAAGUACCACAAUCGCUAGGUCAAUCAAUUCCCCGUGUUACAGCUAGUGGUGCCGAGAUGAUGCCUCA